ACGAACGCUGGCGGCGUGCUUAACACAUGCAAGUCGAACGGUGAAGCGCCUUCCUUUUUGGUGGGUGUGGAUGGGUGGCGAACGGGUGAGUAACACGUGAGUAACCUGCCCCCUUCUUCUGGAUAACCGCAUGAAAGUGUGGCUAAUACGGGAUAUUCUGGGUCUGUCGCAUGAUGGGUCUGGGAAAGAUAUUGUUUCGGUGGGGGAUGGGCUCGCGGCCUAUCAGCUUGUUGGUGGGGUGAUGGCCUACCAAGGCGGUGACGGGUAGCCGGCCUGAGAGGGUGGACGGUCACACUGGGACUGAGACACGGCCCAGACUCCUACGGGAGGCAGCAGUGGGGAAUAUUGCACAAUGGGCGCAAGCCUGAUGCAGCGACGCCGCGUGAGGGAUGGAGGCCUUCGGGUUGUGAACCUCUUUCGCCAGUGAAGCAGGCCUGCCUCGUUUGUGGGUGGGUUGACGGUAGCUGGAGAAGAAGCGCCGGCUAACUACGUG
This 493-nucleotide ribosomal RNA is filed under the name uncultured bacterium. RNAcentral's name for it is "partial 16S ribosomal RNA". It matches the Rfam family "Bacterial small subunit ribosomal RNA", at positions 29 to 507 of the family's 1533-position model. The record is from RNAcentral.